GCCCUGGGAAUGAACUAGCAUGCGAGUCAUUGUAGCAAUACAAGGCAUACGGCUCAGUAACGCGUAGUCAACCUGCCCUAUGGACGGGAAUAACCUCGGGAAACUGAGAAUAAUGCCCGAUAGAACAUUAUAUCUGGAAUGGUUUAUGUUCCAAAUGAUUUAUCGCCGUAGGAUGGGACUGCGGCCUAUCAGUUUGUUGGUGAGGUAAUGGCCCACCAAGACUAUUACAGGUACGGGCUCUGAGAGGAGUAGCCCGGAGAUGGGUACUGAGACACGGACCCAGGCCCUAUGGGGCGCAGCAGGCGAGAAAACUUUGCAAUGUGCGAAAGCACGACAAGGUUAAUCCGAGUGGUUUGUGCUAAACGAACCUUUUGUCAGUCCUAGAAACACUAACGAAUAAGGGGUGGGCAAGUUCUGGUGUCAGCCGCCGCGGUAAAACCAGCACCUCAAGUGGUCAGGAUGAUUAUUGGGCCUAAAGCAUCCGUAGCCGGCUCUGUAAGUUUUCGGUUAAAUCUGUACGCUCAACGUACAGGCUGCCGGGAAUACUGCAGAGCUAGGGAGUGGGAGAGGUAGACGGUACUCGAUAGGAAGGGGUAAAAUCCUUUGAUCUAUUGAUGACCACCUGUGGCGAAGGCGGUCUACCAGAACACGUCCGACGGUGAGGGAUGAAAGCUGGGGGAGCAAACCGGAUUAGAUACCCGGGUAGUCCCAGCUGUAAACUAUGCAAACUCAGUGAUGCAUUGGCUUGUGGCCAAUGCAGUGCUGCAGGGAAGCCGUUAAGUUUGCCGCCUGGGAAGUACGUACGCAAGUAUGAAACUUAAAGGAAUUGGCGGGGGAGCACCACAAGGGGUGAAGCCUGCGGUUCAAUUGGAGUCAACGCCGGG
Molecule: ribosomal RNA, 884 nt
Filed under: uncultured archaeon
Lineage: Archaea
Description: bacterial SSU rRNA
Rfam family: Archaeal small subunit ribosomal RNA
Source: RNAcentral